Catharus ustulatus (Swainson's thrush) is the source of this 176-nucleotide long non-coding RNA. RefSeq lists it as uncharacterized. The transcript is spliced from 3 exons. NCBI's taxonomy places the organism in Eukaryota, Metazoa, Chordata, Aves, Passeriformes, Turdidae. The record is from RefSeq and is a predicted model, not a curated record.
AAAGGAGCAGCAGGUUUUCCCAGACAGCUGAAACCUUUCUGGAGCUGAGAAGGAGAAGGGUGUUUGGUGUGACUGAUAGGCUUUGUUAAAAUCAUAACACACUGAGGAAGGAUUCUCAGCAAGGGCAUAGGAGUACUCUGGGCUCCCAGAGAGGACAUUGUGUGCCAGCUCCAAAA